This 383-nucleotide ribosomal RNA is filed under the name uncultured bacterium. Its description in RNAcentral is "bacterial SSU rRNA". It matches the Rfam family "Bacterial small subunit ribosomal RNA", at positions 128 to 507 of the family's 1533-position model. The record is from RNAcentral.
GCCCAAUCGUGGGGAUAACGUAGCGAAAGUUACGCUAAUACCGCAUACGAUCUACGGAGGAAAGCGGGGGAUCGCAAGACCUCGCGCGAAUGGAGCGGCCGAUGUCAGAUUAGGUAGUUGGUGGGGUAAAGGCUCACCAAGCCGACGAUCUGUAGCUGGUCUGAGAGGACGACCAGCCACACUGGGACUGAGACACGGCCCAGACUCCUACGGGAGGCAGCAGUGGGGAAUUUUGGACAAUGGGCGCAAGCCUGAUCCAGCCAUUCCGCGUGCAGGAUGAAGGCCUUCGGGUUGUAAACCGCUUUUGUACGGAACGAAACGGUUCUCUCUAAUACAGGGGGCUAAUGACGGUACCGUAAGAAUAAGCACCGGCUAACUACGUG